GAAUGAACGCUGGCGGCAGGCCUAACACAUGCAAGUCGAACGAGGUAGCAAUACCUAGUGGCGGACGGGUGAGUAACACGUGGGAACGUACCCUUUGCUACGGAAUAGCCCUGGGAAACUGGGAGUAAUACCGUAUGAGCCCGAGAGGGGAAAAGAUUUAUCGGCAAAGGAUCGGCCCGCGUUGGGAUUUAGGGUAGUUGGUGGGGUAAUGGCCUACCAAGCCGACGAUCCAUAGCUGGUUUGAGAGGAUGAUCAGCCACACUGGGACUGAGUACACGGCCCAGACUCCUACGGGAGGCAGCAGUGGGGAAUCUUAGACAAUGGGGAAACCCUGAUCUAGCCAUGCCGCGUGAUCGAUGAAGGCCUUAGGGUUGUAAAGAUCUUUCAGGUGGGAAGAUAAUGACUGUACCACCAGAAGAAGCCCCGGCUAACUCCGUG
RNAcentral lists this ribosomal RNA (438 nucleotides) under uncultured bacterium. RNAcentral's name for it is "bacterial SSU rRNA". It matches the Rfam family "Bacterial small subunit ribosomal RNA", at positions 27 to 507 of the family's 1533-position model. The record is from RNAcentral.